AGCAGCCGCGGUAAUUCCAGCUCCAAUAGCGUAUAUUAAAGUUGUUGCAGUUAAAAGCUCGUAGUUGAAUUUCGGGGUUAGUAGGUUGGUCAUGCCUCUGGUAUGUACUGGUCUCACUGAUUCCUCCUUCCUGAUGAGCCGUAAUGCCAUUAAUUUGGUGUUGCGGGGAAUUUGGACUGUUACUUUGAAAAAUUAGAGUGUUUAAAGCAAGCUAACGCUUGAAUACAUUAGCAUGGAAUAAUGAAAUAGGACGUUCGAUCCUAUUUUGUUGGUUUCUAGGAUUGACGUAAUGAUUAAUAGGGAUAGUUGGGGGCAUUAGUAUUCAAUUGUCAGAGGUGAAAUUCUUGGAUUUAUUGAAGACUAACUACUGCGAAAGCAUUUGCCAAGGAUGUUUUCAUUAAUCAAGAACGAAAGUUAGGGAUCGAAGACGAUCAGAUACCGUCGUAGUCUUAACCAUAAACUAUGCCGACUAGGGAUCGGAUGAUGUUAAUUUUUAAUGACUCAUUCGGCGCCUUAACC
This 519-nucleotide unclassified non-coding RNA is filed under the name uncultured Glomus. Its description in RNAcentral is "SSU rRNA". It matches the Rfam family "Eukaryotic small subunit ribosomal RNA", at positions 569 to 1093 of the family's 1831-position model. The record is from RNAcentral. Lineage: Eukaryota; Fungi; Glomeromycota; Glomeromycetes; Glomerales; Glomeraceae.